Molecule: transfer RNA, 75 nt
Filed under: Salmonella enterica subsp. enterica
Lineage: Bacteria; Pseudomonadati; Pseudomonadota; Gammaproteobacteria; Enterobacterales; Enterobacteriaceae
Description: tRNA-OTHER
Source: RNAcentral
UGCGGAAUAGCUCAGUUGGUAGAGCACGACCUGCCAAGGUCGGGGGUCGUGAGUUCUAUCUCGUUUCCUCGCCCA